CGUUGAUUACUUUGCAAUGGGUCGGAACGGCUUGUAGUCCUUCAGCAGGACCCCUGCACUUUCUCUCCCCUCCCCCCCACAAAAAAGCCUUGAAAGUUUUUAGAGUGUCUGCAAAGUAAUCUCUACCAGGCGCAGGGAAAUGGUUAACUUGUCACAACAGAAGACCCAAAACGAGGAGAAGGUUACUGAAUGCGUUUUAAUUGUUGCAGCUAAUGUGUCCUGUUUUUACUUUGGCUAUUGUGGAUCCAUGAACGGUUUCCCAUGACAAGCAGAAUGGAUUUUCAGCUCUUUUUAAUACACUGGAGCCAGCAGGGCACUUUCUGGGAAAGGGUUAAUUAAAAGGUCUACUCUGGUCACCCUGUCUCUGGAGGUGGCAUCAUCUAUCAUGCAUCUUUUAGAAGAAAAAAAGAAAAGGUUCCCUACAACUGAAGACCACUGAAUUACUUAGUCACAAAAUUCUACAGAAAUGAUUUGGAGAGAGGACCUGGUCAAUUGACAAAGAUUAUGUAAAACACACAGGCUCCUCCUGAUAUCCCCUUAGGAGUAAAGCUGUUAGUUGUGUUGAUAAUAACAAUGUAAUGGUUGCAAGAAUAGACACAACAGCCUUCAAUCUGGAAAGUGGCUGUUUGCAUCUCAAACAGGAGAGAUGCUGACAUUGUUUAUCUAGAUUUGAGUAAAGACCCUCCCCACA
Spea bombifrons (plains spadefoot toad) is the source of this 691-nucleotide long non-coding RNA. RefSeq lists it as uncharacterized. The record is from RefSeq and is a predicted model, not a curated record. The transcript has 2 exons. NCBI's taxonomy places the organism in Eukaryota, Metazoa, Chordata, Amphibia, Anura, Pelobatidae.